RNAcentral lists this ribosomal RNA (397 nucleotides) under uncultured bacterium. RNAcentral's name for it is "partial 16S ribosomal RNA". It matches the Rfam family "Bacterial small subunit ribosomal RNA", at positions 523 to 918 of the family's 1533-position model. The record is from RNAcentral.
AUACGUAGGGGGCAAGCGUUAUCCGGAUUUACUGGGUGUAAAGGGAGCGGAGACGGCGAUGCAAGUCAGAAGUGAAAACCCGGGGCUCAACCCCGCGGACUGCUUUGGAAACUGUGUUGCUGGAGUGAAGGAGAGGUGAGUGGAAUUCCUAGUGUAGCGGUGAAAUGCGUAGAUAUUAGGAGAAACACCAGUGGCGAAGGCGGCUCACUGGACUGUAACUGACGUUGAGGCUCGAAAGCGUGGGGAGCAAACAGGAUUAGAUCCCCUGGUAGUCCACGCCGUAAACGAUGAAUGCUAGGUGUCGGGGGGCAAAGCCCUUCGGUGCCGCCGCUAACGCAUUAAGCAUUCCACCUGGGGAGUACGUUCGCAAGAAUGAAACUCAAAUGAAUUGGCGGGG